UAAUGAGUUUCUUCCUAUUGGGAUUCCAGGCUGCAGCAUGAACGCUGCCUUCACGCUGGGCGCCUGUGUGACACGGACCUCGGCCUGCAGCAGCUCUUUGCCCUCCCUGAAGUCUCCAGCAUGAUCCAUGCCCUGGUGUCCAUGAUGGCCAGCGCGGAGGCAGGAGGGAGCCGGAACGCCUGCUUUGCUCUCAGCUGCCUGGCUGCCAACAAGGAGGGGCAUGACCACGUGCUGCAGAGCCCUGCCUUCCCCCGGGCUCUGGAUACGCUGUGCCGCCUGCUUCGCGCCAAGGAGCAGGAGUCCUCCUGGUUUGCUGCCAUGACCCUGCGUGUGCUCGCCAGCCAGCCCAAGGGGGUGAUGACACUACGAGAACACCCAGAGCU
Molecule: long non-coding RNA, 383 nt
Filed under: Chrysemys picta bellii (western painted turtle)
Lineage: Eukaryota; Metazoa; Chordata; Testudines; Emydidae
Description: lncRNA (ENSCPBG00000010722.1)
Source: RNAcentral